RNAcentral lists this ribosomal RNA (528 nucleotides) under Bifidobacterium longum subsp. infantis. RNAcentral's name for it is "bacterial SSU rRNA". It matches the Rfam family "Bacterial small subunit ribosomal RNA", at positions 157 to 700 of the family's 1533-position model. Lineage: Bacteria; Bacillati; Actinomycetota; Actinomycetes; Bifidobacteriales; Bifidobacteriaceae. The record is from RNAcentral.
CGGGUGGUAAUGCCGGAUGCUCCAGUUGAUCGCAUGGUCUUCUGGGAAAGCUUUCGCGGUAUGGGAUGGGGUCGCGUCCUAUCAGCUUGACGGCGGGGUAACGGCCCACCGUGGCUUCGACGGGUAGCCGGCCUGAGAGGGCGACCGGCCACAUUGGGACUGAGAUACGGCCCAGACUCCUACGGGAGGCAGCAGUGGGGAAUAUUGCACAAUGGGCGCAAGCCUGAUGCAGCGACGCCGCGUGAGGGAUGGAGGCCUUCGGGUUGUAAACCUCUUUUAUCGGGGAGCAAGCGUGAGUGAGUUUACCCGUUGAAUAAGCACCGGCUAACUACGUGCCAGCAGCCGCGGUAAUACGUAGGGUGCAAGCGUUAUCCGGAAUUAUUGGGCGUAAAGGGCUCGUAGGCGGUUCGUCGCGUCCGGUGUGAAAGUCCAUCGCUUAACGGUGGAUCCGCGCCGGGUACGGGCGGGCUUGAGUGCGGUAGGGGAGACUGGAAUUCCCGGUGUAACGGUGGAAUGUGUAGAUAUCGG